CCUACGGGUGGCAGCAGUGAGGAAUAUUGGUCAAUGGACGAGAGUCUGAACCAGCCAAGUAGCGUGAAGGAUGACUGCCCUAUGGGUUGUAAACUUCUUUUAUAUGGGAAUAAAAUGUUCCACGUGUGGGAUUUUGUAUGUACCAUAUGAAUAAGGAUCGGCUAACUCCGUGCCAGCAGCCGCGGUAAUACGGAGGAUCCGAGCGUUAUCCGGAUUUAUUGGGGUUAAAGGGAGCGUAGGUGGAUUGUUAAGUCAGUUGUGAAAGUUUGCGGCUCAACCGUAAAAUUGCAGUUGAAACUGGCAGUCUUGAGGACAGUAGAGGUGGGCGGAAUUCGUGGGGUAGCGGUGAAAUGCUUAGAUAGCACGAAGAACUCCGAUUGCGAAGGCAGUUCACUGGACUGCAACUGACACUGAGGCUCGAAAGUGUGGGUAUCAAACAGGAUUAGAGACCCCAGUAGUC
This 460-nucleotide ribosomal RNA is filed under the name uncultured bacterium. RNAcentral's name for it is "partial 16S ribosomal RNA". It matches the Rfam family "Bacterial small subunit ribosomal RNA", at positions 338 to 795 of the family's 1533-position model. The record is from RNAcentral.